CCUACGGGAGGCAGCAGUGGGGGAUAUUGCACAAUGGGGGAAACCCUGAUGCAGCGACGCCGCGUGUGGGAAGACGGUCCUCUGGAUUGUAAACCACUGUCCCCAGGGACGAAGAUGACGGUACCUGGGGAGGCCGCUCCGGCUAACUACGUGCCAGCAGCCGCGGUCAUACGUAGGGAGCAAGCGUUGUCCGGAAUUACUGGGUGAAAAGGGAGGGUAGGCGGGGUGGCAAGUUGGGUGUUAAAUCUACCGGCUCAACUGGUAGUCGCACUCAAAACUGCUAUUCUUGAGAGAAGUAGAGGCAGGCGGAAUUCCUAGUGUAGCGGUGAAAUGCGUAGAUAUUAGGAGGAACACCAGUGGCGAAGGCGGCCUGCUGGGCUUUUACUGACGCUGAGGCUCGAAAGUGUGGGGAGCAAACAGGAUUAGAUACCCCAGUAGUC
RNAcentral lists this ribosomal RNA (440 nucleotides) under uncultured bacterium. RNAcentral describes it as "partial 16S ribosomal RNA". It matches the Rfam family "Bacterial small subunit ribosomal RNA", at positions 338 to 795 of the family's 1533-position model. The record is from RNAcentral.